RNAcentral lists this ribosomal RNA (253 nucleotides) under uncultured bacterium. RNAcentral describes it as "partial 16S ribosomal RNA". It matches the Rfam family "Bacterial small subunit ribosomal RNA", at positions 524 to 776 of the family's 1533-position model. The record is from RNAcentral.
UACGUGGGGGGCAAGCGUUGUUCGGAAUUACUGGGCGUAAAGGGCUCGUAGGCGGCCAACCAAGUCAGACGUGAAAUCCCUCGGCUUAACCGGGGAACUGCGUCUGAUACUGGAUGGCUUGAGUGUGGGAGAGGGAUGCGGAAUUCCAGGUGUAGCGGUGAAAUGCGUAGAUAUCUGGAGGAACACCGGUGGCGAAGGCGGCAUCCUGGACCAUUACUGACACUGAAUAGCGAAAGCCAGGGGAGCAAACGGG